Molecule: non-coding RNA, 89 nt
Organism: Acanthosepion pharaonis
Lineage: Eukaryota; Metazoa; Mollusca; Cephalopoda; Sepiida; Sepiidae
Source: the annotation of a GenBank genome assembly
AUUUACCGGUUCUCGUACGAACACGGAAGUUAAGCAACGUUGAGCCUGGUCAGUACCUAGAUGGAUGACUGCUUGGAAAUACUAGAUGC